Brassica napus (rape) is the source of this 3315-nucleotide RNA transcript. RefSeq lists it as uncharacterized. The transcript is spliced from 5 exons. The record is from RefSeq and is a predicted model, not a curated record. NCBI's taxonomy places the organism in Eukaryota, Viridiplantae, Streptophyta, Magnoliopsida, Brassicales, Brassicaceae.
AAUGAUGAGGAUGAGGUGGAGGGAAUUGAUCUGCACCAGCAACGUUACCCGUGGGAGGGAAGUGACAUGGAUUACUUAUACGACGAGAGUUCUUUUGCACAGCUAUUGUCAAUGGAAUUAACACUGGAAAUUGAUGGUGCUAUAUUUCAUGUUCCAAAUGCUAACGCAAGCUCCAAUGUUGAUUCUCAGCUUUAACAUGCCAAAAUCACAAUGCAGUGGGUGUUGUAAGGUAAUUCAGUAGGCACAAAUGUCCAGUUGAAAAAAAUUUUAAACUGUAUUUAUGCAUCAAAUUUAUCAUCCGUAACAUAAUAAUAUGAUUUUUCUGUGCUAGGAACCGUUUGUAAAUAAAUGUCUUGGAUGUAUAUGACUGCUUAGUUUGUUGCUUUUGACAGUGAAAUCACUAAGCUUGCAAUGUGUCAGGACAGCAAAAGCAUCUUAGCUGAUGGUUAGCUUUACAAUUUCGUUGGUUUCUUUUUCCUAUUAUGUUGGAUGGAUUAUUUUAGCUAACAAAUAUCGCAACAGAGCGCUGGCAAUAACUCUAAUAGAUUUAUAUAUACAUUUAGAAUUGGAAAUUUGGUGAGAACAAGAACAAGUACUUCUGUCACGCUAUUGGACAGUUAUAUGUCAUUUCAAGAGAAUUGAUUUCUUAUAUUUUCCAUAAUCAGUAAGAUUUUAACUGUUUUGUCUACUUUGCAUUCAUACCUCAUUCUCCAUCUAACUUCUCGGUGCUACUAUAUAAUGAUCAAGUCAUUUUCUGCACAAAUAGGCAAGUGGGGAUGUUACGUUGAGUGCUUGGUUUAUUGGGCUUGGCUAUACAAAGUCUGUUGUGACUCUAAAACUUUUACCUCAUUUAACAUUGAUUCUGGUUCUUGAGAUAAUUGCAGAUUGUGAAUGAAAGGCACAAGCAGGGAACAUAUGUGUAGCUGCGUUCGACUCGACAUGUAGCGGUAUCUGCAGAUCCGAUGAUCCCAUUGUGGAGGUUAAUAUUCAAUAUGUUGACCUGGAAAUCAUUAUUUGGAAGCUACAUUUCGAGGCAUUUCCUCAACAUAUAAAUAGACCAUAGACAGAGUUUGAUAUUUAUAAUACUCAGUGAUCAUAGAGUCUGCAGAAAACAGUUUUUUUGCAUAUUCUAUAUGGAACCAAGAGAUAUGUCCUUUGUUUGAUGAUUGUAUUAUGAUAGCUACUAACAUAGGAGAUGACUAGAGAAAGAGAAAUGAGUAUGAAACUCUUAUAUGAGUAACUUUUGUAAACACAUUUGGGUUUAUUAACAGUUGUGACAAGCAAUUAUGUUUAUAGUAAAGGAAACCCGCCGCAGCGUCAAUAACAAAUGCGCCUGUUUUUUUGUUGUUUGGGAUUGAAAUAGCUUAUGGGUUUUCUAAAUCAAUAUAAUUGAUUUGACUAAAGCUAUCUUGGAUGACAAAAAGAAGGAUUGCAAGUUUAAUAACUUCUACUUUACACUUUAAUUUCAACUAAAUUAUAAUCAGUUUUUUAUCCAUAUCAUCUUAGUUAUAAUCGUAAGGAUUUAUUAGAAUAAAUAAACAGUUUCAACAAUAUUUAAUAUGUGAUUUAAUAAACAAAAGAACAUGUAGGAUUUUUAGGAUUUAAAGAGAUUGGAGACAAUAGUUAAUGAAUAUGAAAAGAAUACGAAGCAGAUGAUGAAAAAUGAUUUGAGCAAAUUAGUGGCAACACAGAGUUAACCAAGAUAAAAAUAUCAAUCAAUAAAGAAUGAAAGAAAAAUGAGUAGGGUUAAGUUAUUACACAAGCCAAAACUAAGACAAAUCAAACGACAGAACAUGAAAACAAAUGUAAACAAGACAAGAAGAGAUGGUGAAGAUAAAAUGCAUUGAAAAACUGAAUGCUAGAUUAGUAAGCAAUAGACAAAAAUAGAUUAAAAUGCAAAAACUCUGCGUCUUGGCGCGGAUAACGAUCCCUAGUCUAUAUUAUAAUGAGCCAGUUUUUGCUCACUUCUAAAGAGUCCUGCAUCUUUGUGGGCUCUACUUUUAUUUUUUAUUUUAAACAAAAUUAUUAUACAUUUAAAUGCAUCGUAUCUCAUGUAUUCUCAUCGUUACUACAUGUCAUCGGUUUCAAAUUUUUUUCCCUAAUGGGCUUGAAACUAUUUGCUCCCGAAGCAAAGAGUUUCCUGUUAACGGGCCUGCAAAAAAAGAAAACAAUAAUAAUAAUAUAAUAUAUAGAUUUUGUGAGAUAUAAUUGAAACGAGAGGUACUUUGGCUUCCAGAGCUCCCUUUGUAGCUAAUAGCUCUUGAGAUCUUCGAUUUCACUUUGCUCUUUUUUUUUAGGUUCAAACUUCUUUUGUUGCCUUCUUUUUCCCGGAUCUGCUUCCAUUGAUUGAAUAAUCCUAAUUGCAGAAAACUCUACCCAGAAGCCGAUCGAAUUGUUGCACGAAAUCGUCACAGGAGGAGGAGGUGAUGAUGAGAAUCUCUUGAUCUACUGUAAACCUGUUCGUCUCUACAACAUUCUUCGCAUUCGCUCUCUAUUCAACGUAAAUCAAUUGCGUCUCUCUCUCUCUCUGAAUCAUUCUUUUAGCCCAGCUGAUACUGCUUGUCUCUCACUCAUGGUCUUUGUUUUUUUCAUGCAUGCCGCCAUCGUUUCUUCCUAGAUGCUUGAGCAAAGGGCAAAAGAAAGUGAAGUGGUGACGGAUGGUGAGAAGUCGAAGUCGGGGAAGAAGGGAGCUAAGGCUCCAUGUGCGAAGCCACUUUCUCAGUAUUCUCAGGCAUACUUUGAUGCGCCCGGGGUUUAGUAAAUUUAAGCUUUUUAUAUUGGCCAAUUUGUAACCAACCACUGUUAUUGUUUUCCAUAUUCAUAUUCAUGAAUGGAGUUUUAGUGAAGGUGAUUUCCUUGAAAUAAGCAAGCAGAUGAUGCUUAAUCACCAAAAGCUUACACAACCGAGGAUUACCUCAAAGAUCACUGAAGAGCAGCUCAAAGCUUCGUCUCCUGGUAAAAGCCAAACAGAGGAUCAAAUUCAGACUCAAGAACCUGCUGUACAAAGCCAGCCUGAAGUUAGUUACAUCGAGAGAGACCAUGGCUGCAUCUCCUCCAACGCAAGAUUAAAAGGCACCCAAAAAUUUGACUCGUCAUGUUAAAAGCAUAAAAGCCUCUCUGUCUAUUGGGAGGCUUUCGGAGGCACAUUUUUCAUUUGACAAAGGAGACAACGCAAUUAGCUCUCAGGACGUUGUCAGGAAGCAUUAUAUAUUGUGCUGUUCUUAUGAAUUGAAAAUAUGAGAGUGUGCGACACAUGUGUAUUUAUGUGCUAUUUGUUUCUUACUUAAUGAUUAUAAAUAGGGUUUGUUAGUUAAA